Long non-coding RNA from Cherax quadricarinatus, 709 nucleotides. RefSeq lists it as uncharacterized. The record is from RefSeq and is a predicted model, not a curated record. NCBI's taxonomy places the organism in Eukaryota, Metazoa, Arthropoda, Malacostraca, Decapoda, Parastacidae.
GAAACAUCGUCCAGAUUUCUUUUUUUUUAAUUUGUGGGUUAGCUUUGAAUUGUUUCAGCCAUGGGACCGUGACUUAUGACUUUUAUUAAGUGAUGUCUGCAGAGCAACGUUGUCAGCUGGUACCUCUCCAUCUGCCGCUCCUUCCCUAAACUAGCACAGUCAACGCGGCAGGAAAACUGUAUAAAUAUUAGUGAGUGGGGAAGCUCCCGUCACAGUGUCAUCCACACUGCUGCAGGUGGGUGAGCAGCACCUGCCACACAGUGUCAUCCACACUGCUGCAGGUUAGAGGACUCGGACGCCUGUUGAUGAUGUGGGUGUGUUAUCUAUUGUUAGUGGGCGUGGUGGAAGGCGUGGGGGUGGGCCUGAGUGUGGAGGAGUUUUCCAACAUUCACUCACUCGACACCAUCAUCAGCACGUACCUGAGGACUUAUCUGCGUCAGCACCAGCAGGAGAAACAUCUUCAAGACACUGUACUGCAUCCAUAUUUCCUGACACACCUCGAUUUGGUGGCCAGGUACCUCGAGGAGUACGACAAGGUGGUGGUGCCGCUAGCCAGCAGGACCCAGAGUGUAGGAGGUGGGCCCGAAGCUGGCCAGGACGCCGUGUUGUGCCUGCUGCUGCUGCGACGCCUGCUGCACGACUGGUCCAAGCUUAGGGAUGCUCCUCUCACACACCAACACUGGCUGGGUGACGCUCAAUGUCUUCAUAC